UGUUUUCCUGUGCCAUUCUCCUGGUGUUCUGCAUUGGACAAAUCUGCAUCUUCAGUGAAACACAAAAGAAGAAAACAGAUUGUUGUGGUCAGUAAGGACAAACCACUAACCUCCAUUAAGGCUGAUACAGUCCAUGCUUUCCUCUCGGAAUGCUACAUGUACACAAUGCAGGCAACCUCAGGCCGCUGUGGGAGAACGGAGUCCCCCAAAUGGCGGGAGGUGUCCCG
This 227-nucleotide long non-coding RNA is filed under the name Manacus vitellinus (golden-collared manakin). Its description in RNAcentral is "lncRNA (ENSMVIG00005014053.1)". The record is from RNAcentral. Lineage: Eukaryota; Metazoa; Chordata; Aves; Passeriformes; Pipridae.